Molecule: ribosomal RNA, 248 nt
Filed under: Foraminifera sp.
Lineage: Eukaryota; Foraminifera
Description: partial small subunit ribosomal RNA
Source: RNAcentral
AGUUCGUGGAGUGAUCUGUCUGCUUAAUUGCGUUUCACAUAAACGAGUAUAUAUUGAAUGCUUUGUUUGCACACAAAGUUGUUGCAUUGUUUUUUAACUUUGCACCUUUGUUGUUGCACGGCAUUCUUUGAAAUAUACUCAGAAGGCAACGAACGUGACCGCAACAUCUUGUUGCAUAAUCUUAUUUAUGCUAACUAGAUGGACCGCUGGCUCUUUUCUAAACAGAGGAAGGUUGCGGCAAUAACAGG